AUUGUGCCUAACCUAUUUUGAUUAGGUUGGCUCAAUUAGGUUGAAACCACUUUGACCUCAUCUCCCUGCGCCACCUCACUUAUCUACGCCCAUUUGAAUUCAUGAGAAAUAACUUCUCAUGAAUUUUCUCCCACGCAGAAGCCUUCCCACGCCCUCCCUUGUGCGCCAUUUAUCUGGAUAAAGAUUGGUUUGUUGGCCAUUCAAAUUCAAAGGAUGUUUGAAUUUGAAUGGG
This 232-nucleotide long non-coding RNA is filed under the name Elaeis guineensis (African oil palm). Its description in RNAcentral is "long non-coding RNA (EGUI_LNC026025)". The record is from RNAcentral. Lineage: Eukaryota; Viridiplantae; Streptophyta; Magnoliopsida; Arecales; Arecaceae.